UACUAAAUUUGGUUACUAUGUUAAUAUGCUAAAUUUUGUUUAACAUAUACACUGCGUAUAUCAUCAUGAAUUAUAAUAUGAAGAUUCUGAAAUAAUAUCGCAUUCAGAAAUUUCAGAAGAAGAAAUUAAUAUUUCUGAAUUAAUAUUUCUGAAGCAGGUAAAUGUAGAGAUAAGAGAAUCACCGAUAAAA
Molecule: long non-coding RNA, 190 nt
Organism: Pogonomyrmex barbatus (red harvester ant)
Lineage: Eukaryota; Metazoa; Arthropoda; Insecta; Hymenoptera; Formicidae
Source: RefSeq, a predicted model, not a curated record